RNAcentral lists this long non-coding RNA (276 nucleotides) under Oryza sativa aus subgroup. Its description in RNAcentral is "lncRNA OsNaBo_07g0008240". Lineage: Eukaryota; Viridiplantae; Streptophyta; Magnoliopsida; Poales; Poaceae. The record is from RNAcentral.
AGAAGAGCACAGCUCAGUUACGGCUGCCACGACGAUAGCUGCGGGUCGGCGACAACUACGGCAAGGCCAUCGCCCAGUGCCACACGUGCCGCUGUACAUGGCACCACGCCGUCCUCUCUUGCUCCACUAGAAUCUCCUCAUCUCCUCUCCGUCCUCUUCAGUUUUGCCUACAUUAUGCAUGAAUCUACAAAGUCCACCUACAUAAUUCAUCAAGCCUACAGGUGCUCUCCUACGAUAUCUCACAAAGAUUUAAUCUAUGGACAGCGCGCAGCGUAG